Molecule: ribosomal RNA, 503 nt
Filed under: uncultured bacterium
Lineage: Bacteria
Description: bacterial SSU rRNA
Rfam family: Bacterial small subunit ribosomal RNA
Source: RNAcentral
GAUGAACGCUGGCGGCGUGCCUAAUACAUGCAAGUCGAACGCGAUAGUUUACUAUCGAGUGGCGAACGGGUGAGUAAUACAUAAGUAACCUGCCCUAGACAGGGGGAUAACUAUUGGAAACGAUAGCUAAUACCGCAUAGGUGCAGACACUGCAUGGUGACUGCAUUAAAGAUGCUUACAAGCAUCGGUAGAGGAUGGACUUAUGGCGCAUUAGCUAGUUGGUAGGGUAAAGGCUUACCAAGGCGACGAUGCGUAGCCGACCUGAGAGGGUAACCGGCCACACUGGGACUGAGACACGGCCCAAACUCCUACGGGAGGCAGCAGUAGGGAAUCUUCCACAAUGGACGAAAGUCUGAUGGAGCAACGCCGCGUGAGUGAAGAAGGGUUUCGGCUCGUAAAACUCUGUUGUUAAAGAAGAACAGGUGUAAGAGUAACUGUUUACACCGUGACGGUAUUUAACCAGAAAGCCACGGCUAACUACGUGCCAGCAGCCGCGGUAAUAC